Molecule: transfer-messenger RNA, 361 nt
Filed under: Gammaproteobacteria (g-proteobacteria)
Lineage: Bacteria; Pseudomonadati; Pseudomonadota
Also listed under: 1 other name
Description: BW-2 sp008375315 Standard tmRNA
Rfam family: transfer-messenger RNA
About the family: Bacterial tmRNA, also known as 10Sa RNA or SsrA, is named for its dual tRNA and mRNA-like properties. Its role is to liberate the mRNA from a stalled ribosome.
Source: RNAcentral
GGGGACGACAUGGCUUCGACGCCGAUUACAAAACCUGAGGUGCAUGUCGAGGUGCAGUGACCUCGUUAAUCACUCUGCAAAAUCUAUAGUUGCCAACGACGACAACUACGCACUCGCUGCUUAAACCCCAGUAGGGUGCCAUCUGACUAGAGCCGUGUCUGUGCGUCUAGGUUUCAGGUGUCAUAUCUCACAGAAUCGCGUGCGGGUCAGUCUGGUACCUAAGCGCUAAAACCUUACAGACUCGCUGCUAGUUUGCCCUGUGUGCCGGGUUGCUGUCAGUUAAAAUAAAAGGUGCAAUAAGCAUGUAGAGCCGAUGGCGGAGGAUUGACGGACGCGGGUUCGAUUCCCGCCGUCUCCACCA